UGGAGAGAGGUCUUUACAGCCACCUGAUCCU
RNAcentral lists this non-coding RNA (31 nucleotides) under Rattus norvegicus (Norway rat). Lineage: Eukaryota; Metazoa; Chordata; Mammalia; Rodentia; Muridae. The record is from RNAcentral.